UACGUAGGGGGCAAGCGUUGUCCGGAAUUAUUGGGCGUAAAGCGCGCGCAGGCGGUCGUUUAAGUUUGGUGUAUAAGCCCGGGGCUCAACCCCGGUUGGCACCGGAAACUGGGCGACUUGAGUGCAGAAGAGGAGAGUGGAAUUCCACGUGUAGCGGUGAAAUGCGUAGAGAUGUGGAGGAACACCAGUGGCGAAGGCGACUCUCUGGACUGUAACUGACGCUGAGGCGCGAAAGCGUGGGGAGCAAACAGG
Molecule: ribosomal RNA, 252 nt
Filed under: uncultured Paenibacillus sp.
Lineage: Bacteria; Bacillati; Bacillota; Bacilli; Caryophanales; Paenibacillaceae
Description: partial 16S ribosomal RNA
Rfam family: Bacterial small subunit ribosomal RNA
Source: RNAcentral